CUACGGAGGGUGCGAGCGUCGUUCGGAAUUACUGGGCGUAAAGCGUACGUAGGCGGAUCAGAAAGUAUGGGGUGAAAUCCCAGGGCUCAACGCUGGAACUGCCUCAUAAACUCCUGGUCUUGAGUUCGAGAGAGGUGAGUGGAAUUCCGAGUGUAGAAGUGAAAUUCGUAGAUAUUCUGAGGAACACCAGUGGCGAAGGCGGCUCACUGGCUCGAUACUGACGCUUAGGUACGAAAGUGUGGGGAGCAAACAGGAUUAGAAACCACGGUAGUCC
Molecule: ribosomal RNA, 274 nt
Filed under: uncultured bacterium
Lineage: Bacteria
Description: partial 16S ribosomal RNA
Rfam family: Bacterial small subunit ribosomal RNA
Source: RNAcentral